Molecule: non-coding RNA, 870 nt
Organism: Arachis ipaensis
Lineage: Eukaryota; Viridiplantae; Streptophyta; Magnoliopsida; Fabales; Fabaceae
Source: RefSeq, a predicted model, not a curated record
UAGAGCAGAGAUCCUCCCAAGUCCCACCACCGCGAAGCCUUCCUCUUCAGGCCAGCACGCCACCCUUUGACCCAGCAGGCCAGCAACACGCCACCACCCACUGACUCAACAGGGCAGAGCACCACGCCAGUGAGACGUCACGAACUAGCAGCGUUUCUGGGUUCUGGCCACGAUCAUCAGUUCAACCCAGCACCUCCCAGUCUCCCACAACACAGCAGCCACCGGUUGGCCCUCUUCCAGUGCUCUUCCUCCUUACCAUCCACUUGACUUCAGGGUUCACUGCUGCUAUUAUUGAUUAUUGAUGAGGUCAUUCUGAAUUGAAUAGAUGUCUUUAUUAAUCAAAUCAGAUAAUUUUCUAGAUGUCUUUAUUCUUUAUCAUGUUGAGUGGUUACUCUUAAAAUUUAUUUUAAUAAGAUGGUUCUAGAUGAUGGAUUAAGUAUGUAUGUAUGUAUGUAUCAAUGGGUUGAUUAGAUGGUUGCUGGAUUGAUGGAUCUAAUUGCAGUCUUGCUCUUAUUGUUGCAUAGAAGGUUCUGAUAACUGAUAUGAUUCAAGAUUCACCUUUUUAGUUAGCAUGACUUAUAUGCUCUUAAACUUUGAGUUGAUUCAUUGAUUCGGGCACAUGUAUCAUGGUAUGAAUUGUUAUCUUUAUUAUUAAAAUGUAUAACUUGGCUAUCUUUUAAUGGAAAUUUAUUUUUAUUUUCAGUUGUGUUGACUAUUGAACUUUUAAACUUCUUUAAUUGUUGUAUUUGAAUUUCUUUUGUCGUUAAAUUUUAUUAGACCAAUACUUUGUUAGCUAUUGUAUAUUUGUGUUUGUUGAUUUCAAUGUUAUGAUUUUGUGAAAUAGUAUGGUAGUAUUUUUUUUAAUUGAUU